RNAcentral lists this ribosomal RNA (491 nucleotides) under uncultured bacterium. RNAcentral describes it as "partial 16S ribosomal RNA". It matches the Rfam family "Bacterial small subunit ribosomal RNA", at positions 29 to 506 of the family's 1533-position model. The record is from RNAcentral.
AGUGAACGCUGGCGGUAGGCCUAACACAUGCAAGUCGAACGGCAGCACAGUAAGAGCUUGCUCUUACGGGUGGCGAGUGGCGGACGGGUGAGGAAUACAUCGGAAUCUACUUUUUCGUGGGGGAUAACGUAGGGAAACUUACGCUAAUACCGCAUACGACCUACGGGUGAAAGCAGGGGAUCUUCGGAUCUUGCGCGAUUGAAUGAGCCGAUGUCGGAUUAGCUAGUUGGCGGGGUAAAGGCCCACCAAGGCGACGAUCCGUAGCUGGUCUGAGAGGAUGAUCAGCCACACUGGAACUGAGACACGGUCCAGACUCCUACGGGAGGCAGCAGUGGGGAAUAUUGGACAAUGGGCGCAAGCCUGAUCCAGCCAUACCGCGUGGGUGAAGAAGGCCUUCGGGUUGUAAAGCCCUUUUGUUGGGAAAGAAAAGCAGCAGGUUAAUACCCCGCUGUUCUGACGGUACCCAAAGAAUAAGCACCGGCUAACUUCGU